CAGCCAGUUUGUGAACGAGGCCUGCAGGGCGCUGGUGUUCGGCGGCUGCGUGGAGAAGUCCUCUGUCAGCCGCAACCCUGAGGUGCCCUUUGAGAGCAGUGCCUACCGCAUCUCAGCUUCAGCCCGCGGCAAGGAGCUGCGCCUGAUACUGAGCCCUCUGCCUGGGGCCCAGCCCCCCCAGGAGCCGCUGGCCCUGGUCUUCCGCUUCGGCAUGUCCGGCUCUUUUCAGCUGGUACCUCGCGAGGAGCUGCCACGCCAUGCCCACCUGCGCUUUUACACGGCCCCGCCUGGCCUCCGGCUCGCCCUGUGUUUCGUGGACAUCCGCCGGUUCGGCCGCUGGGACCUUGGGGGAAAGUGGCAGCCGGGCCGCGGGCCCUGUGUCUUGCAGGAGUACCAGCAGUUCAGGCUGAAGAUCCCCCCCUUUGAGAAGGCCCGCUCGGUCCUGGAGGCCCUGCAGCAGCGCAGGCCGAGCCCGGAGCUGACCCUGAGCCAGAAGAUCAGGACCAAGCUGCAGAAUCCAGACUUGCUGGAGCUAUGUCACUCAGUGCCCAAGGAAGUGGUCCAGUUGGGGGGAUCCUGGACCCUUGGCACCCAAAGGUAAGCUAUUCCUAA
RNAcentral lists this small RNA (612 nucleotides) under Pongo abelii (Sumatran orangutan). RNAcentral's name for it is "retained intron". Lineage: Eukaryota; Metazoa; Chordata; Mammalia; Primates; Hominidae. The record is from RNAcentral.